This 465-nucleotide ribosomal RNA is filed under the name uncultured Klebsiella sp. RNAcentral describes it as "bacterial SSU rRNA". It matches the Rfam family "Bacterial small subunit ribosomal RNA", at positions 338 to 795 of the family's 1533-position model. The record is from RNAcentral. Lineage: Bacteria; Pseudomonadati; Pseudomonadota; Gammaproteobacteria; Enterobacterales; Enterobacteriaceae.
CCUACGGGAGGCUGCAGUGGGGAAUAUUGCACAAUGGGCGCAAGCCUGAUGCAGCCAUGCCGCGUGUGUGAAGAAGGCCUUCGGGUUGUAAAGCACUUUCAGCGGGGAGGAAGGCGGUGAGGUUAAUAACCUCAUCGAUUGACGUUACCCGCAGAAGAAGCACCGGCUAACUCCGUGCCAGCAGCCGCGGUAAUACGGAGGGUGCAAGCGUGAAUCGGAAUUACUGGGCGUAAAGCGCACGCAGGCGGUCUGUCAAGUCGGAUGUGAAAUCCCCGGGCUCAACCUGGGAACUGCAUUCGAAAGUGGCAGGCUAGAGUCUUGUAGAGGGGGGUAGAAUUCCAGGUGUAGCGGUGAAAUGCGUAGAGAUCUGGAGGAAUACCGGUGGCGAAGGCGGCCCCCUGGACAAAGACUGACGCUCAGGUGCGAAAGCGUGGGGAGCAAACAGGAUUAGAUACCCGUGUAGUC